RNAcentral lists this ribosomal RNA (354 nucleotides) under uncultured marine eukaryote. Its description in RNAcentral is "SSU rRNA". It matches the Rfam family "Eukaryotic small subunit ribosomal RNA", at positions 613 to 973 of the family's 1831-position model. The record is from RNAcentral.
UUGCGGUUAAAAAGCUCGUAGUUGGAUUUCUGUCGAGAACGCGCGGUCCACGCUUUGCGUGAGUAUCUGUGUCGGUCUUGGCAUCCUCUAAAGGAUCGUUUCUGCGCUUGAUUGCGUGGAGCGGAACUUUAGACUUUUACUUUGAGGAAAUUAGAGUGUUCACGGCAGGCAAACGCCUUGAAUACAUUAGCAUGGAAUAAUAACAUAGGGCCUUGGUUCUAUUUUGUUGGUUUCUAGAGCUGAGGCAUGAUUAAUAGGGAUAAUUGGGGGCAUUCGUACUAACGCGUCAGAGGUGGAAUUCUUGGAUUGCGUUAUGACGAACUACUGCGAAAGCAUUUGCCAAGGAUGUUUCAU